Sapajus apella (tufted capuchin) is the source of this 521-nucleotide long non-coding RNA. RefSeq lists it as uncharacterized. The transcript is spliced from 3 exons. Lineage: Eukaryota; Metazoa; Chordata; Mammalia; Primates; Cebidae. The record is from RefSeq and is a predicted model, not a curated record.
CUCCCAAAGUGCUGGUGUUAUAGGCAUGAGCCACUGUGUCCAGGUCACGUUUGCACUCUUAUUCUCCAUAUAGUAGUGUGAGCAAUCUUUUGAAAUGGGCUUUAAAACUCUCCACUGCUCCCUGUGGUUUUUAUCUAACUACUCUGUCCUUUGCUUACAAUGUUUCGUCCACAUUAGGCUUCUUUUUCUUACUUACAAAGCUUGCUCUUACCUCAGGAACUUUACACUAGCAUUUUACUUUGAAAUGCCUUUCCACCAGUUGUUUGCAGGACUAGAUCCAUCUAGUCUUUUAGAUCUCAUUUCACAUGUCACUUCCUCAGAAAGGCCUUCUCUGACUACCACAUACCAAGUAUAGGCAUGCUUCGUUUUAUCGUGCUUUGCUCUGUUGCAUUUCACAGAUACUGCAUUUUUUUUUUUUUACAAAUUGAAGGUGUGUGGGAACCCUGAAUUGAGCAAGUCUAUCAGUGUCAUUUUUCCAAAAGCAUAUGCUCACUUUGUGUCUCUAUAUCUCAUGUGUUCUC